GCCUGAGAAGAUCACUUGAAGUAACAACUCCCCGUGGUGUGACACUCCUCAGUUGCAGCAGUCGUUGAGCGCUCCAAGAAACAGAGCACCAUAAGGAUGAACAACAUGUUGUCUCUGAUGGUCUUGUGCCUGCUGGGAGCCACAUCCCUGAGUGACGCGGGGUAUUCCUACUCCCCAGCGGUGGGCAAGGGAGAUGGGACAGUGUACGCUACCGAGGGAGAAGGACACAUCACUGCAGUACGAGUCUGGGAAAUCUACA
Engraulis encrasicolus (European anchovy) is the source of this 259-nucleotide long non-coding RNA. RefSeq lists it as uncharacterized. NCBI's taxonomy places the organism in Eukaryota, Metazoa, Chordata, Actinopteri, Clupeiformes, Engraulidae. The record is from RefSeq and is a predicted model, not a curated record. The transcript has 3 exons.